Molecule: small RNA, 403 nt
Filed under: Pan troglodytes (chimpanzee)
Lineage: Eukaryota; Metazoa; Chordata; Mammalia; Primates; Hominidae
Description: processed transcript
Source: RNAcentral
AGGGCUGGGCGCAGUGAUUCACGUCUGUAAUCCCAGCACUUUUAGAGGCCAAGGUGAGAGGACUGCAUGAGCCCAGGAGUUUGAGACCAGCCUGGACAACAUGGGAAUCUUUAACCAGUUUCAGUGUAGUAGUGAAAAAGUGCUUCCAUCUGACACUCUCCGCAGUGCUCUGGCAAAGACUUUCCAGGAUGAACAACGUUUCCAGCUGGGAAUUAUGGAUGAUGCUGCAGAGUGCUUUGAAAACCUCCUGAUGAGAAUUCACUUCCACAUUGCUGAUGAAACCAAAGAGGAUAUAUGUACUGCCCAACACUGCAUUUCCCAUCAGAAAUUUGCAAUGACAUUGUUUGAGCAGUGUGUAUGUACUAGCUGUGGUGCCACUUCUGAUCCGCUGCCUUUCAUCCAG